CCACACCUGCAGUAAAUACAUAAUAUUUUAGACUACUCUGUUUAAUAUAAUUUUAUUUGUUCACUCUAUUUUCUUCCAUUAUUACCACUCUACUGUAUACAUACAUUCUACUUUUUAUAAUUUAGACAUUUAACACCAGGAACAUAGAAUAAUCUCUGCCUAUGUAGUGAUCUACAUUAACUCACAUAGUAAAGUAAUAGGCAUGAGAAAUAUAAACAACUAGUCCGAUACAAACGCCAAUGUAUAUUUCAUAUAAAACUGAACUAAACUGGAAUCUGAAUGUCCUAUAUAUGCACAAACAGGAUGCAUAGCCGGAACAAUAUUCAGAUUACGUCAUGGGUGGCCAUGUGAUCUUCAAGAUCUCUGGGAAUAUCAAACACGACAUCGCACACACAACAAACAUAUCCAACACCAGUUGGUUUCGUCGAUUCCAGUUCUUGACAUAAACCACAUUGAUAGUUUCCAUCAUUACCAUGUUGCCUUGCUAUAUGUUGAACCAAUGUCAUAAAAUUUGAGAAUCGUUUGUUACAUUUGUUACAAGCGUACUUUCCCGUGUUUUUAUCCUGAACAAAAUGUUCUUGCAAAUUUUGUGGUUGAGUAAUCUCCAUUUGGCAACUAUUGCAGAACAAAUGCUUCUUUUUGUGCCAAUUAAGACUUGCUAUUUGUACAAAUUUCUUCUUACAAACAUCACAUUCAUAAGGUUCGUGUCCAGUGUGUGUUCUUUUAUGUCUAACCAAAUGAUCUGAUCUUUUAAAUUUCCUCUUACAAAGAUCACAUUCAUAAGGCUUGUCUACAGUGUGUGUUCUUAUGUGUGUCGUUAGACUACCUGAUUGGCUAAAUCUCUUCUUGCAAACAUCACAUUCAUAAGGUUUGUCCCCAGUAUGUGUUCUUUUGUGUAUAGUUAAAUCACCUGAUUGUAUAAAUCUCUUCUUACAAACAUCACAUUAAUAAGGCUUGUCCCCAGUGUGUCUUUUUUUAUGGUACACCAGGCUGUUCGAAUGUUUAAAUUUCAUGUUACAAACAUCGCAUUCAUAAGGCUUGUCUCCAGUGUGUGUUCGUUGAUGUGAUGCUAAAUUACCUGAAUGUCUAAAUAUCUUCUUGCAAACUUUACAUUCAUAAGGCUUGUCUCCAGUGUGUGUUCUUUUUAUAUGUACAGCUAAAUUACCUGAUUGUGCAAAUUUAUUCUUAGAAACAUCGCAUUCAUAAGGCUUGUCCCCAGUGUGUGUUCUCUUAUGUUUUACCAAAGCAUCUGAUCUUUUAAAUUUCUUCCUACAAACAUCACAUUCAUAAGGCCUGUCUCCAGUGUGUAUUCGUUUGUGCGUUGCUAAAUUACCAGAUUGUGCAAAUUUCUUCUUACAAACAUCACAUUCAUAAGGCUUGUUUCCGGUGUGUGUUCGUUUAUGUGUUGCUAAAUUACCAGAUUGUGCGAAUUUCUUCUUACAAACAUCGCAUUCAUAAGGUUUGUCUCCAGUGUGUGUCCUUUUUUGUAUAGCUAAAUAAUCAGAUCUGUUCAAUCUCUUCUGACAAACAUCACAUUCAAAAGGUUUCUUUUCAUAAUUUCGUGUUCCUCUUUGGUUCACCGAGCUGCCUGAUGUUAAAAAUCUCUGCUCACAAUGAUCAGACAUUUUAUAUCUGAUGAUCAGACAUUAUUAUCAAAACUAUAUAUAGAAAUCGCGUUAACGUUGUUUAAUAUAUCUUCAACAGAGUGACAAAUUUUACAGUAAAGAAGUCUGGUUAGUUCAGACCCAAAAUCGAUGAAAUUAUAAUAACAUUCGAAUCAAAAUGGACUGAAUUUUAUU
Molecule: long non-coding RNA, 1799 nt
Filed under: Paramuricea clavata
Lineage: Eukaryota; Metazoa; Cnidaria; Anthozoa; Malacalcyonacea; Plexauridae
Source: RNAcentral